UUGAACGCUGGCGGCAGGCUUAACACAUGCAAGUCGGACGGUAACAGGUCUUUCGGGAUGCUGACGAGUGGCGGACGGGUGAGUAAUGCUUGGGAAUCUGUUUGUUAGUGGGGGAUAACUCGGGGAAACCAGGGCUAAUACCGCAUACGUCUUUAGGGGGAAAGCAGGGGAUCGUAAGACCUUGCGCUAAUGAGUGAGCCCAAGUCGGAUUAGUUUGUUGGUGAGGUAAAGGCUCACCAAGACUGCGAUCCGUAGCUGGUCUGAGAGGAUGAUCAGCCACACUGGGACUGAGACACGGCCCAGACUCCUACGGGAGGCAGCAGUGGGGAAUAUUGGACAAUGGGCGCAAGCCUGAUCCAGCCAUGCCGCGUGUGUGAAGAAGGUCUUAUGAUUGUAAAGCACUUUAAGUCAGGAGGAAGGUGCGAGGGCUAAUAUUCCCUUGUGAUUGACGU
Molecule: ribosomal RNA, 452 nt
Filed under: uncultured Gammaproteobacteria bacterium
Lineage: Bacteria; Pseudomonadati; Pseudomonadota; Gammaproteobacteria
Description: bacterial SSU rRNA
Rfam family: Bacterial small subunit ribosomal RNA
Source: RNAcentral